Molecule: long non-coding RNA, 413 nt
Filed under: Anas platyrhynchos platyrhynchos (common mallard)
Lineage: Eukaryota; Metazoa; Chordata; Aves; Anseriformes; Anatidae
Description: lncRNA (ENSAPLG00000026969.1)
Source: RNAcentral
CUUCAAAGUAAUAGAGAUAAUUUAAUUUCAGAUACAGCUUUGUGUUGUUUCACAGGAUUUUCUAAAGUUAGGUAGUUAAGACAAUUAUAUUUUUACCUUAAGCCUGUUUCUUUUGAAAGUCUGUUUUUCUACACAAAGAUCCAAGAAAUGAGCAGCACAGAUGGAAAUCAAAAACAAAACAACAAUCAAAAAAGAACCUAUCAGCAAUUUUGGUAAAUUUCUUUAGAAGUGAAUUUAUUUAUAUAUAUAUAUAUAUCUAUAUGUGUGUGUGUGUGUAUAUUUGUUAAUGCCAGCUUACUGGUGUAUUACACAUAUCAGGUUUAAAGGUCUUAACUAAUAGGAUCCUAGCCAUCUCCUUUGCAGAGACAUCAGUCUAAUCUUAACUGUAUUGGAAUCAAGAGAAAUUCCUUAAU